This 13457-nucleotide long non-coding RNA is filed under the name Lynx pardinus (Iberian lynx). Lineage: Eukaryota; Metazoa; Chordata; Mammalia; Carnivora; Felidae. The record is from RNAcentral.
AGCCACAUGGAAGAUGGCAGAGCAAGAGGAUAGAAGGAGCUUGACUUCCUAAUGAUGAUGGAAUUUCCUGUGAUUUUUCAGCUGAGUCUAAUGCUAAUUAAAGCAACUAAAAGUUUGUCGAGAAGACUGAAAACCAUUUUGCUAAGUAGGAGUUCAUUAUAUUUAAUUAAAAAUAGGUGCUUGAAGUUACUUUUCACCAUGUCCAUCGAGACACUCACUUCUGCAUUAUGGGUAAGUGAAAAUGAUGUUUCCUUCUUUCUACAUAAAAAUAAAUGAAUGCUUAAAGACUUUUGUAGCAAUUUUUAUGUUUUAUUAUUUUUGAGGUAUCAUUGACAUAUAACAUAUGAGUUUCAGGCGUACAACAUAAUGAUUUGUUAUUUGUAUGUAGUGCAAAAUGAUCACCAUAGUAAUUCUGGCUACCAUCUGUCACCACACAUAACAAAACUUUUUUCUUGUGAUGAGAACUUUCAAGAUUUACUCUCUCGGCGACUUUCAAAUAUGCACUACAGUAUUAUUAACUGUAAUCACCAUGCUGUAUAUUACAUCCUCAUGACUUACUAUUUUACAACUGGAAGUUUGUACCUUUUGACCUUCUUUAUCCAUUUUUCCCCCCAACUCCCCAUUCUGGCAACCACCAAUCCGUGUUCUAUAUCCAUGAGCUCACAGCAUGUUUUUGUUUUUGUUUCUGAUUUGUUUUAGAAUCUACCUAUAAGGGAAAUCACAUAGCGUUUGUCUUUCUCUGACUUACUUCACUUAGCAUAAUGCCCUCAAAUCCAUCUAUGUUGUUACAAAUGGCAAGGUUUCCUUUUUUAUGACUGGAUAAUAUUUCCAGUGUGUGUGUGUGUGUGUGUGUGUGUGUGUGUGUGCAUGUAUGUGUGCGUGCACGUGUCUGUGUGUACCACAUUUUCUUAUCCAUUCAUCCAUCAGUGGAUACACUUAGGUUGUUUCCAUAUCUUGGCUAUUGUAAAUAAUGCUGUAGUGAACAUGGAGGUGCAGGUAUCUUUGGGGGAGAGUAUUUUUGUUUUCUUUGGAUAAUACCCAGAAAUGGAAUUGCUGGAUCAUAUGGUAGUUCUAUUUUAAAUUUUUGGAGGGCCCUUUACACUGUUUUCCACCAUGGCAGCCCUAGUUUACAUUCUCACCAACAGUGCACAAGAGUUCCCUUUUCUCCACAUCCUUGCCAACACUUGGUAUAUUGCUUGUCUUUCUGAUAAUUCUGACAAGUGUGAGGCGAUUACUUUGUGGUUUGGACUUGCAUUUCCCUGAUGAUUAAUAUUGAGGACCUUUUCAUGUAUCUGUUGAUCAUUUGUAUACCUUAGCUGGAAAAUAUCUAUUCAGAUCCUUUGCCCAUUUUUUAAUUGGAUUGUUUGGGGGUUCUUUACUGUUGAGUUGUAGGAGUUCUUUAUGUUCUUUAUAUAUUUUUGAUAUUAACCCUUUCUCAGAUAUGUGAUUUGCAAAUAUUUUCCCAGUUUUCCCUGUUAUAAGCUCCAGGGGUACCUUAUAGUUUUUUCAUACUAUUUCUCAUGUUUAGAAUUAUUUGCUAAGUAUCUGUCUUUGCUGUUGACAAAAGCAGUGAAAGCAGGCAUUUCUGUCUUGUCACUGCUGCUUCCUCAAUAUCUGGUCUAGCUCCUAACACUUAAUGGAACUUAAUAAAUAUUCAUGGAAUGAACGAGCUUUUGUUAUCACGCUAUCUGGACAGAAUGUUUUUCACUUAAGAAAAAUGUAUGAACCCCCACAAUCUCCAUGUUGAGCAGAAUCAAAAUAAAAUGUUUUAGAGUUGCAUUAGCAAUUGAGAAAGAUUGGUCUUCUAUCUGGACCGGUGGGAAGAUUUCCAGGUACAUCCUUGAAAAGGGACUCAGGACAGAAAAUGACCGGCAGUCAGGCAGAGAGGAGGCCGGGCUCUGUGGUCAGUCAAGUCACAAACAAGUAAGGAGCAGAGGUAGUGUUCCUCUGCGUGCACUCCCUCCACCCUCUGACCCCCUGCCUCACCCCGGCCUUGCCUCAGGGUUGCCGCUGCAGGGCCACACUGGAACAUCAAACAGGGGAUUUUGUUUGCUGACUUGGCUUCAUAACAGGGCCUCUCCCUGACCUUUUCCUUGCGUGUAAUAAAGGGGAAGGACGCAUUUAAAGUGGAAUUGCACAAGUUUCCCGUAUGUAUUAUUACGCUUUCAAAGGAACACCUCAGCUGAGCACCGCUGCCUGGAAUAGAUUGAGGGCAUCUGCCCCAGCCGCACCCUUGGCACUUUUGCCCCAGUGCCUCAGCCUUUCCUAUGGGAGUGAGAGCUGGCCCAGCCCAGCCCCCGGGAGCCCCUGCCACAGCAAGAGAUGUGCUGGUACUGGACUCUGUGUUGCCAGGUGCCUGGAAGGAUCCAGAGACCCCUCAGGUUUGACAGCCAGUGGUGAGCUGUUUUUAGGAUGUGUAGAGAAUGAAGGAAGAAGGACCCAGCCACACAGCUGGGCUUCGUGGCCCCACAGGACACCAUUCAGGAUAGUAGAGCCCCUCAAGUAUCUCAACACCCAUUUCCAGAGUCGUUCUCUGGAAUUAUCAGACGGGAGUUUCUCCGCUGUUAUGUUGACUCAGCUUUUCUCUAUCUCCACUUGCACCACCUCUGUCCCUGCUGACUAAUUGUCUGUACCACCCUUUUCUCUUCAUCAGGCUUCUGCUGCCUUUACCCUGUGGCCCCUCUUUAGCACCAUCCUACUAUCACUUUCCCUGUCCAGACCUCACAGACUCCCCAACGGUGGUGUCUGAUGCGUUCAGCCUGUCGCCGUGACCAAGUUCUCACGUCAGACCUCAGCCAUUGGCCAGCCAUUGGGAAGUUGCCGUCAGGUUAGAGGCCAAUUCCCAGCUCAACCCAUUGUAACUGAAGCCACACAUGCAGAGUGACAUGGUAGAAACCAUUCACCCACUGGACAUGGGCACCUUGCAUAUGACAGGGCUCCGUGCUGGCACGGAGAACACAGCAGUGAAACAAAACAACACAAGCUUCAGGCUUCGUGAACCGUGCUUUCAAUUGGAGGUUAGGAGGACUGACCAGAGACGAACUAGAAAGGGAAUCAUAGGAUAGACAUGGGUUGAUGUGACGGACAGGAACAGAGCAGAAGUGCAUAGGGAGUGCUGGAACAAUAUCGGAGUGGCUGUCCAUUUCAAACAAGGCGCCAGAGCAGGUCCAUAAGAGAGAGUGAGGUGUGUGUCAUUAAGGACACAGAGAAGGUGAGAAGGCCACGAAGGAAGUCUCACAGGGCUCUCGCGUGGUAAGAAUGAUGAGGUUGCUGGAGACAGGGUCAUGUCACUUGGUAUUGGCUUUGUCAGCACUGAGAAUCACAGGGAGUCCUGCCCUCUGUGUCUCGGAGAGGAGAGGAAGAUGCCUCCAUAAGGUACGUAGUGCAGCAUCUGAUGCUCCAAAAAGUCCAAGAAGGACCGGACCCCGAAGGGCAUUUACAGAGGGAACCAGAGGACAGGCACCGCAUUCUGUCUGCGCCUGUCCCUGCUGUCCCAGAGCCUUUCCACAGGAGCAAGGAUGCCAUGGACUUCCAAGUCAGAACUAUCCGGUUCAGUGGGCCUUAACCUGAAGGGGUGCGGGAAUCACCCGGAGGCCUUGUUCAAUUCAGAUUGUGGGGCCCAUCCCCAGCAGUUCUGAGUCAGUAGGGCUGAGUGGGCUCCAAUGACAGAUGUUUCUAACUCUUUCCCAGCUGCUGCUGAUGCUGCUGGUCCAGGUAUGACUCUUGGAGAAGCAUUGCUCUCAUUUACACUCUCAUCCCUCCCAGUCCCUCAGAGUCUGCCCUCACCUUUCUUCCUGUCUGAGAUGGCUGGCUUCCUCUUCUGUGUCUCCCUCAAAUCCAGCUUGGAGACACUUCCUCCAGGAAACUCUCCAAGGAAGAAUCCUUCUUGCCUUCCUCUGCCUGUUUCCAUGCCGUGUCAUAUCUGUACUCAUCUAUCUGCUUUCUGGAUUGUAAGGGCUAGUUCCUCCAGUUCCUAGUAUCUAGUAAAUGUUAAGUGAAACUGUCUGAGACCCCUGGUUUUCCCACUUGGCAUCUGCGAAAGGAAGGCCGUGCUGGGAAUGAGUUCCAGCUUGCUGCUCCCUGGGCUUCCCUCACCAUCAAGACCCCAUCUCCUCUGAGCUCCCGAGCCCCCCUGAACUCCCUAGUUCCAGCAGAUCCAGACGCGCUGUUGUAACAUCUAGCCACCCUGGAAGUUGAAGUUCUUUCUCUCACAAAACAAUAUGCAGUUAGGAGUUGUAAGAGGGCUCUUUGACUAAGAGACUCCAAUAAGCAAAAUCAAGUACCGGAAUGGCCAAGUGUGCAUGGGGAGGCUGGAGAGUCAGGAGAUUGAGUGAUUCCACCCUGCCUCUGCACAAGCUGAGUGGCCGUGGGCCAGCCACUGGCCCCUUCAUGUGUCAAACGAGGGAACUGGACUAGAUGAUUUGUAAGGUCCUUCUCAGCUCUCGAAUUCCAAGAUUAGAGAACUGAGUUCAUGUAGAUGCUAAGCAAAGAUACCCAGACUUCCAGCAUGAGAGUGCCAGCUCUGGAGGAAAAUCUGUUUUUCCUCUAAGCUCUUUCCUAGUUUUCGCUCUGCCUGUGGAGUCAUAGGCAACUCCCUAAAGAUUCCAGGGGAGCUGUGGAUGGAAAUGCAGCUGUGCAAGGAAAACGCGGAACUAAAUUGUAACACAGAGAAAGGUGCAUAGACACCUUACAGGAUAACUACAAGAAUUAAGAGAAAAUGAUAUAAACAGCAAGCACCUAGCACAGAGGCUAGCCCAGCACAUAUGUUCAGCAAGUGUUAGUUCUUCAGUCCACGUCUGCUGCCAGGCUGGCCCUUAAAGGAGGAAAGCAUUGUGUACUCUGAACCCCAGAGUCCUUCUUAUCAGCUCCUGGUCACUCCCGCUGGCCUUGCUUGGUCACUUAUUCACUCAACCUGUGUUUAUUGAGCGUCCACCGAGUGCCAGAUAGGGUGUGAAGGAUCAGCACAGGUAGUUACAACACCAUCCCUAUUCUCGAGGAGCAGGCGCUGUGCUUUAGUUAGGGAUAUGGACAAGUCAGCAACUAUGAUGUGAUGGGACACAUCUACUAGGAAUAAGCUUUGGGUCUAAGAAGGUAAGAGAGAUCAGAGGAGAAUUCCUGGGCAGGUGACAUCCAAAUUGAUUCUGGAAAGGUGAGAGACGAUUGACUAGACUAGGUGGUGGCAGGGUAGAGGAUUCUGGCGAGAGGGAGAAAUGAGUCUGGGCAGGUGAACGGGAUCACGUCACCAAAGGUCUGUGUCCUACAAUACAGAGCUGAGUCUUUAACUUAGGCAUAAUACACUGCCGGAUUUCAAGCAAAAAAAUAACUAAUUAACUUAAUUGAAUAAAUUGACAGUUCUGAUUUUAGCCCCCAUGUUUCUUCCUCAGCAGAAGGUCCAGCCACUUCUUUCUUUUGCCUGUGUCAUUUGCUCUAGGCCAGCAAUCCUCUCUGCCACUGUUGCACUCUGUGUCCAGCCCCAGACCCAUGUGGGUCCACCCAGGUCAAGGACCUAAGGAAUCCCAGAAGCUUCAGGCCCUCUGCUCCAUCAUGGGCCUUCAGGAACCAGGGGGAAGCAGAAAGUAGAAGAAUGUUCCAAUGGGUUAGGAGAGUUUUCCUCAUUUAAUAUUUAGAUUUUAAAUUGAGUAACUUUUCAAGUAUUUACUUGUGAAGAGCUUGUCUUCAGAUUCAAGGGCAGCCAGUAUAAACCUGGAUCUUCAGUGAGCAAUGAAAUCUAAAGAGUCUGACCUCUCCACUCCCUCAGAAGUGGGGUCACCAGAUAAUGUCAUUCCUGGCUGAGAAACCCCUGUGGCUUCCCAUCUCGCUUGGAAGGAAGUCCAAAGUCCUGCACAGGCUGCCCUGCCUCCAAAAUCAGUCUCCUCUGGGUCUUGCCAUCUCCAACCACACCUGCCUAUGGCUGGUGUGUUCUCCGUGGCUGCUGCCUGAGAUGCUGUCCCUUCUUGGCAGUCUCUUUUUUGUUCAAGGUCUCACACCUCUAUUUCACCUACUCAGAGACUGUCUCUGGCCACCUGGUCUAGAGCAGCCUGGAAGAAGGGCCCUGAGAUCGGGGCACAGGUCUGUCCUUGUCCCCUUACCUCGCUUCCUAUGUUUCCCCCCAAGACCCUUCUAUGAGUCACCGCUCAGGUCCCCAACACUCCUUCAUCUCCCUCCACAACUUGGUUGCAUUCCUCUGAAGUCUGCAUGUGCCAAAUGUUCUCCCAAUGUUUGCUUUUCCCUCCUGCCUCUUCCUCAAGAAAAAUAAUCUUUCUCUGUGUCCUGUCUCUCCAGGAUCCAGAGUAAGGGGUAAGAAAUGGGACUCUGGAGACAUAAACACAUGCAGCAAAUCCUGAAGGACUGUGGUGAGCCAGGUACUGUCCUGGGCCCUGGUUUACUCUGGGGUUUGAAUCCUAGCUUUUCAACUUACUCCCGGGGUGUCAUGGUCCUAACCUCUUUGACCCUUAGGCUUAUCAUCUUGAAAAUGGGACUAGUAGGGGGCGCCUGGGUGGCUCAGUCGGUAAGCAUCCGACUUCAGCACAGGUCAUGAUCUCACGGUUCGUGAGUUUGAGCCUCGCAUCGUGCUCUGUGCUGAAAGCUCAGAGCCUGGAGCCUGCUUCAGAUUCUGUGUCUCCCUCUCUCUCUGCUCCUCCCCCACUCACUAUGUCUCUCUCUCAAAAAUAGAUAAACAUUUAAAAAAAAUUUUAAAUGGGGCUAGUAAAGUCUACUGUGAUGGUUAAUUUUAUGUGUGAACUUGGCUGGGCUACAGUGCCCAGAUAUUUGGUCAAAUAUUAUUCUGAAUGUUUCUGUGAGUGUGUUUUGGGAUGAGAUUAACAUUUAAAUUGGUGGACUUGAGUAAAGCAGAUUGACCUCUGUAAUGUGGGUGGGCCUCGUCCAGUCAGUUGAAGGUAGACAAAAAGACUGACCUCCCCUGUGCAAGAAGGAAUUCUGUCAGCAGACAGCCUGCAACAUCAGCUCUUUCCCAGGUCUCCAGGCUGCCGGCCCACCCUGAAGAGUUUGGACUUGCCAGGCUUAAUUACACGAGCAAAUUCCUUAAAAUCAGUCUCUCUAUGUAUAGAUGCAUCCUACUGGUUUUGUUUCUCUGGAGAACCCCAAACACAUACAUCUACCUUGCAGGAUUUUGUCACAUUCAUCAGCCCUAAUAUUUGCUCCCACUUACUGAGUGCUUACCGCGUGCCACCCGCCUUGCUAAGGGUUGACCUUACGUGAUCUCGUGUAAUCCUCACCACAGCCUUACGAGCUGCCAUCAUUAUUAUCCUGUGUACAGCAAGGAAAUGGACAUUCAGAUGGCAAUCCGACAGUCAAUAAAGGCUGGCGUGAGGGGGGCUUGAGAGGGGAGCUCAUAGAGGAGAGAGAGAUGUGCGUGACCAAUUACCUGGACUUUCUACAGCCUCAUUUCAAACCUGUCCACUUAAACAUCUUUUCACUGAUAAGCUCAUACACUGAAACAAGGCGCCCACAUGGCCUGCUUCCAGCCAAGCAGAAGGCGAGAGAGAUGUAGCUCGCAGGGUGCUGUGGCUCACGGAGCGGCUGCCAGAGAAAGGCUGCCCAGCCGUCACCACAGGGUUUACCCUGUCUGCCCUGACUUUGCUGUCGCUUCACUUGGCCUGCUCUGGGAAGCAAGAGCCCCCCACUGAGAGGCUGUAAGUCCUUCUGGAAUGGUUCUCCCGGUUUGCCAUGCUAGAUGUUUCCCCAGAAAAUUCCCUUUAUCCAUGAACAAACUUUUUUUAAAUUUUUUAAUUGGAAAGGGAAGGACAAAUGAAGGGUUUUCAAAAAAAUGAGAAAAGUCUUUCGAGGCAGAUAAAUGUGCACUUUUCUUCCACGCGAAUUAGAAUGGAUUCUACAAAAGCAUGUUCCAUUUCCCAUACUCCUUUUAGCAUUUUGUUAGGAGCUUUGCCUGCCCGUGUUUUCUUUUUUCACGUUCCCAUAGUGCUGUGAAAUAGAUAUUGCUUGACAGAUGAUGGCAUAGUGGCUCAAGGGACACAGGGACUUGCCCACAUUCACAUAGUCACACAGUUACUCCAGCUUUGCUCUGGUGAAGGAGCCUCACCACGAGUGAUCACCUGGCAGCUAUGGGGAGACCUGGUGAUUCUGAUAAUCCUUGGCUUCUGCUGGGAAGAAUGCCUAAGGGGAAUGCCUGAAAAUAGUGGGAUCUGUUUGCUUUCUUUUUUUUUUUUUUUUUUUAAUUUUUUAAGUUUAUUUAUUUUGAGAGAGAAAGCGCAUGAGACGUGUAAGGGCAGAGAGAGGAGGGAGAGAGAGAAUCCCAAGCAGGCUCCACACUGUCAGCACAGAGCCCAACGCGGGGCUCGAACUCACCAACUGUGAGAUCAUGAUGACCUGAGCCAAAAUCACGAGUCAGACGCUCAACUGACUGAGCCACCCAGCACAUGCACUUACUCUAGGUUUCAACGUAUUCUAAAUGCUAGACAUAAGACAUAGUUCUUGUCUGGCCAAACACUGGGUUGACAUUGUGCAGAUGGUAAAACAUCAUAAAUGCCAAAUUCAGCAAAAAUUUCCCUGAUGGAUCUUUCUCUUUGUCCUAAAAGCUGAGAACACUGGUUUUUGCUAAGAAGUGUCCUUAUUACUACAGUGUUCUUUCUGUUUGGCUGACGUUUGUUUUCUUAUUCUUGUUAAUCCUUUCCGAAAUCCAUGCCUUCUCAAACCAGUUAGACCACGAAUUCCUUGAAACCAGAGGUUACACACUUACAAGCAGCUCGAUAAAUAUGCUCUGACUUCCUACAAAUCAUUUAUGACACCCAGUAAUUUCCCUAUAGAAUCAAAAUUGUGUACUUUAGCAAGCCAUCAAUUUUAUUUUUAAGCAGUAAAGUUCAUGCUCUUGCUUCUCCUAUCAUGUUUUUUCUCCUGGAUCUAAAUCACACUGUGAAUCCAUGUGUGUACCCUGAUAAUGUAUGAUAUAACACGCAGUGCAGCUCUUUAAGCCUCCUUUUCCUGCAAACCUAGGGAAAUCAGAAAUGUUUGCCAGGGACACAUUAGCUUUAAGAACUUGUUUCCGAACUGUAUUUGCAUAUUCAUGCCCCCUCGGUCUCUGUGUCUCUCUCUCCUCUCUCCUGGCCUCUCUUGCAUUCCCACAGAUCGCAGUGUGAUUUUUGCCAAAUUCAUACAGUAACUUCUGGGCUGUGAGCAAAGGCUAGGGGACUAUGAGAAAGGUAAUUGCUCGCUGCCUAUUGUUCCUUGGCGUUCCCAGGCCCCAGCCAUGUUCUUGUUUAAACACAAGACUUGUUAAAUAGUUCCUAAAACUAGGUGUUUGGAGAAGGAGAAGGAAAAGUCAUAGGAACUAAACCAGCUGCCAGUCUGGUGACCCUAGUACAGAACCUACACAGGGCCAGGCAUGAAGGAGGGGACAAGGCAGGGGUGCAAUGUAAGUGCAAAUGCCCCUUUAUUCUCUGGGCUGUGGGAACCCAUGCCCGUCCUUCCUCACCUGGGCAGCCCUCCAGCCUUGUUUGACCUUGGAGCUGUACCUGCAGGGCAAAAGAGAAGCCAUGUGAUUUCCCUAAGCAGUUCUUGGUAGUCUGCCAGGAGGCCCGGCGCUCUGCUGGCAUCGCUGGCGAUUCGGACAGGCUCCUCACUCCUUGCUUUCCGGUUAAGGCUGGCCUGGCCCCAGAAGGAGGCCCUGAGAGAAGUUCCUUGGAGGGGACCUCGGGAGGCAGGUGUGGGUGGGGGGCCCUUCUCUUCUUUCCUGAGAUGGCACUGGCGAGGCGUGUAACCACCCCACCACCCCACCAUCCAAUCGCGUUUCUCAAAUCUUGAGCGGGUCACACUCUCAAGAAAGGAUGGCUCCGCCCCCACUUACCCCCCAAGGCUGGCACAACAGACAGAUCACCUGCACGAAUAUCUCUCUCCACCUAGCCUGGCACCUGGUCUAAACUUCACACCACCAUGUUCUUUCCGGCAGGUCCAGAAAACCCUGUGAGGAUGAACAAGUGUCACUUGAGAGCGCACGAUGCAAGCAGUGCACCGAUUGGCCGCUAAGACUGUCCAGUGUGCGGAUGCCUCCCAGAAGAUAGCAGGGCUUUGAGAAGCAGGAAGGAACUCAGCAGGGGUAAGUCUGAAUGCACAGGCGAGUCAGAAAAAUCCGCAGCACCGGCUUCUCAAUAGACAUGGGUGCCAGUAAAAUAGGGGAGGAAAAGGUUGUGAGGCAGGACCAAGCUGGCCCUUAGCCCAGAGGAGUAGCAGGGCCUGAGGGCUCUGGCUGAAGAAGGGUCCAUGCCCCAUUUGCAGGGGAAGUCAUUGACCACUCCCAGCCCUUGCUGCGGGCCUGAGAAUGGGGGCCCCACUGGCCAGGUUUCGGUGUUUUUGUUUUUUAGGAGAAGGGAGAAACCACAACCAGCUUGUUUUUACAUAUUGGCAACUAAUUUAGUAUUUAGAAACACUGCAUAGUCCCGCCCAGUAUACACUAAUUAAAACAUUUGUGUGCCUCAUUUGGCUUCUAGGAAACAGUGAAGGAGGAGACCACCCAGCGUUAUACUGCCUCUAGGGGCAGCCGAGACCCUGUUCCUUCCAGCUCUAAUGCAGAACAUAAAAUGAUGUAACAGGCAGGAGGCCCUUAACAAUCGAUCAGACCCAUUUAAGCCAAGAGCCAAGUGUAAUUCUGUCCACCUCUUUACCUCAGAUCCAUAUCUUGACCCUGGGAAAAAAAUAGUUCAAUCCGUUCUUUUUCUUUUUCUUCCUCUUCCAAGCUAAAAAAAAAAAAAGCAAAAAGCUAACACGUAAAGCUUCACCAGGAUUAUCUCUUUGGCGAGGUGGCACUUACUUCUACAGGAGACCUUUGUCUCCUAGUCAUUAGUCAGCAGUGUUCAGGUGAAUCCCCAAGCCAGCAACAUUUAGAACUUGGACAAAAAGCCGUGAAGCCCUGAAUGACCUUGGGCAAGGUUCUUGGUCUAUCUAUUUCCCUUCUUUUGCUCACUAAGAGAACCUGUUGUUAUGGGGGAAAACACAAAACCAAGAAUAACUAAUCAUCUUCCAGACACGUGUGCCUCAGUUUGUUCCUCCAUAAAACUAGUGGAACAGGUCCAAGGCCUUCGGAGGCCAAGGGUCUCUAAUAGCCCUCUACCUAGAACACUUCCCCCUGUGAACUCAGGAAUGCCCUCCAGCAAGAGUGUGAAAUGCAUGACGUUUCAAUUCUUUGAGCUUCUUCCCACUCCCCCUACCUCUGGUUACCGGAUGCCCUGGCUGAAGUCUGGAUACCCCAGGGACACUUAAAUGAAUAAAAAGCCUGGUUGUUUUACUAAGUGAUGUAGCAAGAUCUACAAAUACAAACACCAAAAGAUGGAGACUACAAUGUGCAUAUGAAUAUCCCUUGGACCCAAAAGCACACGAAGAACUUGUGCUCCCUGUUUUAAAGGUUCAGAAUGUCCUCAUCACUCAUUUUAGAAAUCACAUUCGGGACUUUCAUGCUGAAUGCCAUUAAGUGGGUAGUGUUUGGAACUAUCUGCUCAUCCUAACUUGGAAGCAAGUUUAUUUACUCAGCAUAAAAGGAAGUAUUUGAACUCACAGAGUGUGAUUCUCUGCAACUUUUAAAAGUAGCAAGACUGGACAGGCAACUUUUAGGACAGUAAGACAUAUUUCUCUGUUCUGAAUACCACCUUGCUACCUUAACUAGGCAAUUGUAGCUGGGUAGACGCUCAAGGUGAAAAAGGACAUGAGUUUUAGUAAAUACAGGUAAUAUACUUAGAUGAUACUAAUGGGCUCUGUUUUCUAGGAUUCCAUUCUAUUGCCUUCUUCAUUCAGUUAGUUUUGAACCAUUCUCUUGUGAAACUAAACGUUUGAACCAUUCUUUUGUGAAACUAAACGUGUGAACAACGUUUUUGAGACUAUCACAUUAUCACCUAGGUGAAUAGGAUGACCUUCCCAUCCCACCAUUAAUACUUGCCGAAGACCUUAGUAGGACCCAGCUGGCCUUUUCAAAUGACAGAUUUGCGUAAAAAUUAGGCUAGGAGGGGUGCCUGGGUGGCGCAGUCGGUUAAGCGUCCGACUUCAGCCAGGUCACGAUCUCGCGGUCCGUGAGUUCGAGCCCCGCGUCAGGCUCUGGGCUGAUGGCUCAGAGCCUGGAGCCUGCUUCUGAUUCUGUGUCUCCCUCUCUCUCUGCCCCUCCCCCGUUCAUGCUCUGUCUCUCUCUGUCCCAAAAAUAAAUAAACGUUGAAAAAAAAAAAAAUUAGGCUAGGAGCAAAAUGGACCUGAAGCUGCCUUAGUGCAUGGCAUAUGGUUAUAUUCCCUUCUCCCCUCCUCCACGUAUAGCUCAGUAUCCCUCAUAAAGGAGACAUCAGAAAAAUUAUGGAAUAUGCAGAAGAAAUGAACCUGAGAAAAGGCCAGCAACUGCUGAAGUAGAUGGUGUGUGAGAAUGAGAAGGGAACAGGAGGCAGGCUGAGCCCCAGCUGUCCCAGCUUUGGGCAGAGGGCACCUCACCAGGAUUCAGUGGUGCUGGAGAUCCUCUCUCAGAUACUUUCUCCAGGGCACAGUUUCACCCUGGUCCCAGCUCAGCUCUCCCGCCUCUGUGCUAAGAAGCCAACCUAUUCUCCUCAGGCCCCUCCUGGCUUCUUUCUCUCCCCCACGUGAUCAUUUUGCUCACCUUCUCUGGAUUCUCGCCUAACGCUUACAGCCUUGCUUAAUCAUUUGGUAGCUGCCAGUAAGGAAGGACACAGCACAGGGAAUUUCAUUGAAGCUGUGUUCUUCUAAGCCAUUGAAUGGAAACACGCAUCACACUCUGCCCCAGACAGUGUUUUGUUGAUGCUGCACUUGGUUCAAAGCCUCCCAUGACUUCCUAGGAUGUUUCUUUUUCUAUUCUUAGGCAUAACUCGCCAUUCUUCUACCUUUAUGCAGCUUGUGUUUCCCCUGGCCCUUCUCUUUUGCCCUGGCCUCUAGACCAGGAGUGGAGUGAUUAGAAUGUGCUCGUGUAACUUUUACCCCUCAUUGUGGUUCCUAGAGCUGGAGCCUCUCUAGUACGACUCCCUGCUUCUGCAGGGUUUUUCUCUUGCUGGAGUCCUCCUCGCCCUGUGGUCUUAUCCACAAUGGGCAGCUCCUGGGAAAGACACGUCCAUCAUCUCAUCUGCUUUGUUUUUCUUCCUCUUUCUGGAAGUUGAACAGCGUGGCUGGCUGGAACGGACAACCUUGCACUGAAAGCACCUAAGUGAAGGGGUGCCUGGGUGGCUCAGUCAGUUGAGCGUCUGACUUCGGCUCGCGUCAUGAUCUCACGGCUCGUGAGUUCAAGCCCCGUGUCAGGCUCUGUGCUGACAGUUUGGAGCCUGGAGCCUGCUUUGGAUUCUGUGUCACCCUCUCUCUCUGGCCCUAACCUACUUGCAUUACAUCUCUCUCGAAAGUAAAUAAACAUUAAAAAAAAAAAACAGCACGUAAGGGACUCCAAGGUGUUUUUCCUUCUCAGAAAUGUCAUAGUUACCCCUCUUUCUGGAUUUCAUUCUAUUGUUACAUGUAAU